This 475-nucleotide ribosomal RNA is filed under the name uncultured bacterium. RNAcentral describes it as "bacterial SSU rRNA". It matches the Rfam family "Bacterial small subunit ribosomal RNA", at positions 28 to 507 of the family's 1533-position model. The record is from RNAcentral.
GACGAACGCUGGCGGCGUGCCUAACACAUGCAAGUCGAGCGGGGUUGAAGCGAGGGGUAACUCAAGCUUCUACCUAGCGGCGGACGGGUGAGUAACGCGUGGGCAACCUGCCUCAAGGUCUGGGAUAACAGCUCGAAAGGGCUGCUAAUACCGGAUAUGCCUAUGGCCUCGCAUGGGGCUAUGAGCAAAGGGGAAACCUGCCUUGAGAUGGGCCCGCGUCCCAUCAGCUAGUUGGUGAGGUAACAGCUCACCAAGGCGACGACGGGUAGCCGGCCUGAGAGGGUGACCGGCCACACUGGGACUGAGACACGGCCCAGACUCCUACGGGGGGCAGCAGUGGGGGAUCUUGCACAAUGGGCGAAAGCCUGAUGCAGCGACGCCGCGUGAGCGAAGAAGGCCUUCGGGUUGUAAAGCUCUGUCUGGAGGGACGAACAAAAUGACGGUACCUCCGGAGGAAGCCACGGCUAACUACGUG